This 492-nucleotide ribosomal RNA is filed under the name uncultured bacterium. Its description in RNAcentral is "partial 16S ribosomal RNA". It matches the Rfam family "Bacterial small subunit ribosomal RNA", at positions 29 to 507 of the family's 1533-position model. The record is from RNAcentral.
AGUGAACGCUGGCGGUAGGCCUAACACAUGCAAGUCGAACGGCAGCACAGUAAGAGCUUGCUCUUACGGGUGGCGAGUGGCGGACGGGUGAGGAAUACAUCGGAAUCUACUUUUUCGUGGGGGAUAACGUAGGGAAGCUUACGCUAAUACCGCAUACGACCUACGGGUGAAAGCAGGGGAUCUUCGGACCUUGCGCGAUUGAAUGAGCCGAUGUCGGAUUAGCUAGUUGGCGGGGUAAAGGCCCACCAAGGCGACGAUCCGUAGCUGGUCUGAGAGGAUGAUCAGCCACACUGGAACUGAGACACGGUCCAGACUCCUACGGGAGGCAGCAGUGGGGAAUAUUGGACAAUGGGCGCAAGCCUGAUCCAGCCAUGCCGCGUGGGUGAAGAAGGCCUUCGGGUUGUAAAGCCCUUUUGUUGGGAAAGAAAAGCAGCAGGUUAAUACCCCGCUGUUCUGACGGUACCCAAAGAAUAAGCACCGGCUAACUUCGUG